RNAcentral lists this transfer RNA (78 nucleotides) under Lepisosteus oculatus (spotted gar). It matches the Rfam family "tRNA". From Rfam's summary of the family: Transfer RNA (tRNA) molecules are approximately 80 nucleotides in length. Their secondary structure includes four short double-helical elements and three loops (D, anti-codon, and T loops). Lineage: Eukaryota; Metazoa; Chordata; Actinopteri; Semionotiformes; Lepisosteidae. The record is from Rfam by way of RNAcentral.
GCCCAACUAGCUCAGUCGGUAGAGCAUGAGACUCUUCAUGAGAUCUCAGGGUCGUGGGUUCAAGCCCCACGUUGGGCG